CAGGGGGGAGCAAAUCCAUCUCUUUUGCCUUUAGGCUCAAUUCUUGUGCGUGCGAGUCUAACCCCUUUUACGAGCUCCUUAUUAGCAGCCCACUAGAGGAUGACUUAAUAAAGUAGAGGAAAAAGUUGUCUUUAAUGAAUGAGCGACUCUUCCCUUUUGAGAUACUAUUCACAUUCUUUCUAGCACUCCCCACUGGAGAAGUUUAUAAUAUAUGUUUGGUUUAAUUAGACAUAGAGCUAUGGCAUGGUGACUACAGGGCUUCGCAUCUUUUAAGAGCUUCUCAAUGUUGAAGUACUGGUAAGAGUUACUCGGUAACUAUGCUGGUGAGAGAUAGCAGGUAUUCCGUGGAAUUAAUCGAGGUGCGCACAAGAUGUCCAAACAUUGCCUAGUUGGAACAAGAGCAACCUGAAACCAUCAAUUAGGUGAAUGCUUUUUUUUCUAUGAUUAUACUAUUAUGAUAACUAUGUUAUAGUCCAUGUUGAUCUCUAACGAUGUUAAAUUUCAUAUUUUGGUUAUAUAGGUGAUCUCUGUUGAAGAGUUUUUAGUUUAGCUUUAAGUGUUGGAGAUGAUUCAAAUGUUUUAUGAAAGCUUAAGAUUUAUUUGUCUUUACAGAGUUACCUGGUAUUUGUUACUGCUGGGAGGUCCCGUGAAAUUAAUUGAGAUGCGUGCAACCUAGUUCAGAAACCAUUAUUAUAAAAAAUAAAAAAUAAUAAAAA
Molecule: long non-coding RNA, 716 nt
Organism: Nicotiana tabacum (common tobacco)
Lineage: Eukaryota; Viridiplantae; Streptophyta; Magnoliopsida; Solanales; Solanaceae
Source: RefSeq, a predicted model, not a curated record